RNAcentral lists this ribosomal RNA (465 nucleotides) under uncultured bacterium. RNAcentral's name for it is "partial 16S ribosomal RNA". It matches the Rfam family "Bacterial small subunit ribosomal RNA", at positions 28 to 507 of the family's 1533-position model. The record is from RNAcentral.
GACGAACGCUGGCGGCGUGCUUAACACAUGCCAGUCGAACGGAAAGGCCCCUUUGGGGGUCCUCGAGUGGCGCACGGGUGAGUAACACGUGAGUAACCUGCCCUUGACUUCGGGAUAACUUCAGGAAACUGGGGCUAAUACCGGAUAGGAAUCCUUGCUGCAUGGUGGGGGUUGGAAAGCUUCGGCGGUUUUGGAUGGACUCGCGGCUUAUCAGCUUGUUGGUGGGGUAGUGGCUUACCAAGGCUUUGACGGGUAGCCGGCCUGAGAGGGCGACCGGCCACAUUGGGACUGAGAGACGGCCCAGACUCCUACGGGAGGCAGCAGUGGGGAAUAUUGCACAAUGGGCGGAAGCCUGAUGCAGCAACGCCGCGUGCGGGAUGACGGCCUUCGGGUUGUAAACCGCUUUCAGCAGGGGCGAAGCUUGUGGUGACGGUACCUGCAGAAGAAGCACCGGCUAACUACGUG